RNAcentral lists this microRNA precursor (60 nucleotides) under Limulus polyphemus (Atlantic horseshoe crab). Its description in RNAcentral is "Lpo-Mir-71-P9_pre stem-loop". It matches the Rfam family "mir-71 microRNA precursor family", at positions 9 to 64 of the family's 73-position model. The record is from RNAcentral. Lineage: Eukaryota; Metazoa; Arthropoda; Merostomata; Xiphosura; Limulidae.
UGAAAGACAUGGGUAGUGAGAGGUGGCUGAAGUUAUCAUCUCACUACCUUGUCUUUGAAG